AUGUUCAACGACUGCAUCGCGGAGCUUGGCCUUCGUGAGCUUGAGCGAACGGGGGCCCGGUUCACCUGGACUAACCGCCAGGCGAACCCGACGCAGUCCGUUCUGGACCACAUCCUAGUCUCUCCGGAGUGGGAACUCAGAUGUCCUCUGGCCUCGCUGCAGGCUAUCACCCGGAUCGACUCCGAUCAUGUCCCCCUCCUCCUCUCCUCCGCAGAUGAACGCCCCCCCAUCCCUCCUCGGUUCCGGUUUGAGCUCUUCUGGCUCAACCAGGCCGGAUUCCGCGAGGCCGUUGCGGCUAAGUGGACCGCCGCGCGUGAUUCUCCUCACCGCACCAUGUCCGCUGUUGACUCCUGGCAGUUCUGCACCAAGCUUGCACGCCAAUUUAUGAAGGGUUGGGGCGCGAACCUCGGCCGUGAUCUCCGUGACCGCAAGAAGGCCCUUCUGAGUGCCAUCCAAGUCCUGGACGCCCGCGCUAACACUUCUGGGAUCUCCCCGGACGAGUGGAUGCUGAGAUAUGAUCUCGAGGACCAGCUCUCGGUCAUCUACUCGGAUGAGGAGGCAUACUGGCAGCUGCGCGGCACCCAACGGUGGGUGCUCCAUGGUGACGCUAACACGGCUUACUUCCAGGCGAUCGCCAAUGGCCGGCGUCGACGGAACUCCAUUCACUCCUUGUGGGACGACGAUACUCAGCUUGUUCGCCCCUCGAACAUCCGAGCCCACGUAGACGGCUUCUAUAAAGCCCUUUUCUCCCCUACCCCUUGGGGUGGGGCUGCGCUGGCCCCCGACACCUGGUCGGGUGCCCAGCUAGUUUCCGACGAGGCCAAUGCCGCCCUGGUGGCACCUUUCUCGGAGGAGGAGGUCCUAGCAGCGAUCAAAGGAAUGAACCCCUCCUCGGCUCCGGGCCCGGAUGGAUUGCGAGUCUCGUUUUUCAAAACAUUCUCGCAAACCAUCAAACCGGAAGUCAUGGCUGAUACGUCUCCAACGUAUCUAUAA
RNAcentral lists this ribosomal RNA (993 nucleotides) under Triticum aestivum (bread wheat). RNAcentral describes it as "partial small subunit ribosomal RNA". Lineage: Eukaryota; Viridiplantae; Streptophyta; Magnoliopsida; Poales; Poaceae. The record is from RNAcentral.